RNAcentral lists this ribosomal RNA (1460 nucleotides) under metagenome. Its description in RNAcentral is "bacterial SSU rRNA". It matches the Rfam family "Bacterial small subunit ribosomal RNA". The record is from RNAcentral.
AGAGUUUGAUCCUGGCUCAGGAUGAGCGCUGGCGGCGUGCCUAACACAUGCAAGUCGAGCGAUUCUCUUCGGAGAAGAGCGGCGGACGGGUGAGUAACGCGUGGGUAACCUGCCCUGUACACACGGAUAACAUACCGAAAGGUAUGCUAAUACGAGAUAAUAUGCUUUUAUCGCAUGGUAGAAGUAUCAAAGCUCCGGCGGUACAGGAUGGACCCGCGUCUGAUUAGCUAGUUGGUAAGGUAACGGCUUACCAAGGCGACGAUCAGUAGCCGACCUGAGAGGGUGAUCGGCCACAUUGGAACUGAGACACGGUCCAAACUCCUACGGGAGGCAGCAGUGGGGAAUAUUGCACAAUGGGCGAAAGCCUGAUGCAGCAACGCCGCGUGAGCGAUGAAGGCCUUCGGGUCGUAAAGCUCUGUCCUCAAGGAAGAUAAUGACGGUACUUGAGGAGGAAGCCCCGGCUAACUACGUGCCAGCAGCCGCGGUAAUACGUAGGGGGCUAGCGUUAUCCGGAAUUACUGGGCGUAAAGGGUGCGUAGGUGGUUUCUUAAGUCAGAGGUGAAAGGCUACGGCUCAACCGUAGUAAGCCUUUGAAACUGGGAAACUUGAGUGCAGGAGAGGAGAGUGGAAUUCCUAGUGUAGCGGUGAAAUGCGUAGAUAUUAGGAGGAACACCAGUUGCGAAGGCGGCUCUCUGGACUGUAACUGACACUGAGGCACGAAAGCGUGGGAGCAAACAGGAUUAGAUACCCUGGUAGUCCACGCCGUAAACGAUGAGUACUAGCUGUCGGAGGUUACCCCCUUCGGUGGCGCAGCUAACGCAUUAAGUACUCCGCCUGGGAAGUACGCUCGCAAGAGUGAAACUCAAAGGAAUUGACGGGGACCCGCACAAGUAGCGGAGCAUGUGGUUUAAUUCGAAGCAACGCGAAGAACCUUACCUAAGCUUGACAUCCUUUUGACCGAUGCCUAAUCGCAUCUUUCCCUUCGGGGACAGAAGUGACAGGUGGUGCAUGGUUGUCGUCAGCUCGUGUCGUGAGAUGUUGGGUUAAGUCCCGCAACGAGCGCAACCCUUGCCUUUAGUUGCCAGCAUUAAGUUGGGCACUCUAGAGGGACUGCCAGGGAUAACCUGGAGGAAGGUGGGGAUGACGUCAAAUCAUCAUGCCCCUUAUGCUUAGGGCUACACACGUGCUACAAUGGGUGGUACAGAGGGCAGCCAAGUCGUGAGGCGGAGCUAAUCCCUUAAAGCCAUUCUCAGUUCGGAUUGUAGGCUGAAACUCGCCUACAUGAAGCUGGAGUUACUAGUAAUCGCAGAUCAGAAUGCUGCGGUGAAUGCGUUCCCGGGUCUUGUACACACCGCCCGUCACACCACGGGAGUUGGGGGCGCCCGAAGCCGGAUUGCUAACCUUUUGGAAGCGUCCGUCGAAGGUGAAAUCAAUAACUGGGGUGAAGUCGUAACAAGGUA